CCUACGGGAGGCAGCAGUGAGGAAUAUUGGGCAAUGGACGAGAGUCUGAACCAGCCAAGUAGCGUGAAGGAUGACUGCCCUCUGGGUUGUAAACUUCUUUUAUAUGGGAAUAAAAUGUUCCACGUGUGGGAUUUUGUAUGUACCAUAUGAAUAAGGAACGGCUAACUCCGUGCCAGCAGCCGCGGUAAUACGGAGGAUCCGAGCGUUAUCCGGAUUUAUUGGGUUUAAAGGGAGCGUAGGGGGAUUGUUAAGUCAGUUGUGAAAGUUUGCGGCUCAACCGUGAAAUUGCCGUUGAAACUGGCUGUCUUGAGUACAGGAGAGGUGGGCGGAAUUCGCGGUGUAGCGGUGAAAUGCUUAGAUAUUGCGAAGAACUCCGAUUGCGAAGGCAGUUCACUGGACUGCAACUGACACUGAGGCUCGAAAGUGUGGGUAUCAAACAGGAUUAGAUACCCGAGUAGUC
Molecule: ribosomal RNA, 460 nt
Filed under: uncultured bacterium
Lineage: Bacteria
Description: partial 16S ribosomal RNA
Rfam family: Bacterial small subunit ribosomal RNA
Source: RNAcentral